RNAcentral lists this ribosomal RNA (535 nucleotides) under uncultured bacterium. RNAcentral's name for it is "partial 16S ribosomal RNA". It matches the Rfam family "Bacterial small subunit ribosomal RNA", at positions 355 to 901 of the family's 1533-position model. The record is from RNAcentral.
UGGGGAAUAUUGCACAAUGGGCGAAAGCCUGAUGCAGCAACGCCGCGUGAGGGACGACGGCCUUCGGGUUGUAAACCUCUUUUAGCAAGGAAGAAGCGAAAGUGACGGUACUUGCAGAAAAAGCGCCGGCUAACUACGUGCCAGCAGCCGCGGUAAUACGUAGGGCGCAAGCGUUAUCCGGAAUUAUUGGGCGUAAAGAGCUCGUAGGCGGUUUGUCGCGUCUGCUGUGAAAACCUGGGGCUCAACCUCGGGCCUGCAGUGGGUACGGGCAGACUAGAGUGCGGUAGGGGAGAUUGGAACUCCUGGUGUAGCGGUGGAAUGCGCAGAUAUCAGGAAGAACACCGAUGGCGAAGGCAGAUCUCUGGGCCGUAACUGACGCUGAGGAGCGAAAGGGUGGGGAGCAAACAGGCUUAGAUACCCUGGUAGUCCACCCGUAAACGUUGGGAACUAGUUGUGGGGUCCAUUCCACGGAUUCCGUGACGCAGCUAACGCAUUAAGUUCCCCGCCUGGGGAGUACGGCCGCAAGGCUAAAACU